Molecule: ribosomal RNA, 503 nt
Filed under: uncultured Desulfobulbaceae bacterium
Lineage: Bacteria; Pseudomonadati; Thermodesulfobacteriota; Desulfobulbia; Desulfobulbales; Desulfobulbaceae
Description: bacterial SSU rRNA
Rfam family: Bacterial small subunit ribosomal RNA
Source: RNAcentral
AACGAAAGCUGGCGGCGGUGCUUAACACAUGCAAGUCGAACGCGAAAGGGACUUCGGUCCCGAGUAGAGUGGCGCACGGGUGAGUAACGCGUAAGUAAUCUACCCCUGUAUCUGGAAUAACCCACCGAAAGGUGAGCUAAUACCGGAUACGUUUAUCUUGAUGCGAAUGAUGAUAAAGAAAGGUGGCCUCUUCAUGAAAGCUACCGUACAGGGACGAGCUUGCGUACCAUUAGCUGGUUGGUAGGGUAAUGGCCUACCAAGGCGACGAUGGUUAGCGGGUCUGAGAGGAUGAUCCGCCACACUGGAACUGAAACACGGACCAGACUCCUACGGGAGGCAGCAGUGAGGAAUAUUGCGCAAUGGGGGCAACCCUGACGCAGCGACGCCGCGUGGACGAUGAAGGCCCUUGGGUCGUAAAAUCCUGUCAGAUGGAAAGAAAUGUACAGGUGUUAAUAUCGCCUGUAUUUGACGGUACCAUCAAGGAAACACCGGCUAUCCGUGCC